GAUCCUGGCUCAGAGCGACGUUUGCGGCGGGCUUAACACAUGCAAGUCGAACGGGCUGUUCCUUCGGGGGCAGUCAGUGGCGCACGGGUGCGUAACACGUAGGUAAUCAACCCUCUGGUUGGGGAUAACACUUCGAAAGGAGUGCUAAUACCCGGUAUGGCGCAGCGGUCUUCGGAUCGCGGCGAGAAAGACCCGCAAGGGUUGCCAGAGGACGAGCCUGCGGCCCAUCAGCUAGUUGGCGAGGUAACGGCUCACCAAGGCGAAGACGGGUAGCUGGUCUGAGAGGAUGAUCAGCCACACUGGAACUGAGACACGGCCCAGACUCCUACGGGAGGCAGCAGUGGGGAAUUUUGGACAAUGGGCGCAAGCCUGAUCCAGCAAUGCCGCGUGCAGGAAGAAGGCCUUCGGGUUGUAAACUGCUUUUGUACGGAACGAAACGGUCCGGGUUAAUACCCUGGGCUAAUGACGGUACCGUAAGAAUAAGCACCGGCUAACUACGUG
This 501-nucleotide ribosomal RNA is filed under the name uncultured bacterium. Its description in RNAcentral is "bacterial SSU rRNA". It matches the Rfam family "Bacterial small subunit ribosomal RNA", at positions 15 to 507 of the family's 1533-position model. The record is from RNAcentral.